Molecule: long non-coding RNA, 305 nt
Filed under: Salvator merianae (Argentine black and white tegu)
Lineage: Eukaryota; Metazoa; Chordata; Lepidosauria; Squamata; Teiidae
Description: lncRNA (ENSSMRG00000018036.1)
Source: RNAcentral
AGCAGAGGAAACAUCAUGAGUUUUUAAGGAAGCUUUUCCAGCACCUUUUACUGAAGUGGGCAUGGUAGACGAUUCAUUGCCUAAAUCUACUGAAACAAGCUUUCUUACUUUAAGUCAAGAGAUGAGUCCUCUGGAAAUCAGUUACACCCAUUUGUCCACAAGCAAUUGCUUAGAUUCUCUUAAACAGUGGCAGCAAUGUUACCACAACGAAUUGAGCUGCCCUAUCUGCCUCCAAGUUGCUACUCUCCCUGUAGAAACCAACUGUGGACAUCUAUUUUGUGGUGAGUUAACAGGGUAAUGACCAG